GAGAUUUAUUUAUUCGAGAAGGUAAACCACCAGGACUAUCAUAUUUCAGUUCUUAAAAAUACAUUCAUAUUUAACAUUUCUGACAUUCAGUCAUGGAUUUGUAUUUCCCUUUCUCUAGGCCAAUUAAAUAGUUUAUUAUUUAGAUGUUUUAGUACUCAAGGUUUUGGCUUGGAUGCUGCGGCAGGUUAUCAGUUUGACUACGUUUU
This 206-nucleotide unclassified non-coding RNA is filed under the name Hevea brasiliensis (rubber tree). Lineage: Eukaryota; Viridiplantae; Streptophyta; Magnoliopsida; Malpighiales; Euphorbiaceae. The record is from RNAcentral.